AUGAAGGUAGCUGAGAAAAAAAGGAAACAACCGGACCCACACUUGAAUUCACAGGGGAGAAAUUAUAUGAAAAUGACACGCCCGGACCCCCACCAGUUGAAUUCACGGGGCGGAUAUUUUUUACUCCCUUCUAGUAGUGGCGGUGGUCGAUCCUUGUUCACAGUCGAGAAGCUUUAUGCAAAGAAGUCCAUCAACAUGCAGAGAAGUAUCGUCACUGGGGUUCUUGCACCAAUGUUGGAGGUAGGGAUGGAAAUGGGUAUUUUUACUCACGGGUACCCAUGUACCCUGUCGGGUGACGGGUAUGGGAAAAAAUUGUACCCACUAUUGGAGGAAACUGUGUUUAGAGGGUUUCUAAUGGUAUCCCUGACUAUGUGGUUUCCUACGACAGUAUCUGUUCUGAUCGCGGCUGUGGUAUUUGCCUUCGCUCAUCUUACACCAGGAGAGUUUCCCCAACUUUUUGUGCUUGCACAGGUGUGGCACUUCUCAUAUUCUCAAACUCAGGAUCUUGUUACUCCUAUCACAGUUCAUGCUGUUUGGAAUUCUGGAGUAACAUUGUUACUAACCAUGCAGGGAUAUGAUAUCAAGGAGUUGUUGCAGGCAUCUUGA
Molecule: ribosomal RNA, 606 nt
Filed under: Triticum aestivum (bread wheat)
Lineage: Eukaryota; Viridiplantae; Streptophyta; Magnoliopsida; Poales; Poaceae
Description: partial small subunit ribosomal RNA
Source: RNAcentral